UUAAUUGAAGACUUGUAUGAAUGAUUUGAUGAAAUAUAAACUGUCUCUUUAUUAAAAAUAGAAUUUAAUUUUUUAGUUAAAAAGCUAAAAUUUAUUUAAAAGACGAGAAGACCCUAUAGAGUUUUAUAUUUAAAAUUAUAUUAAUUUUGUAUAAAAUUUUUAUUUAAUAUUUUUUUAAGUAUUUUAUUGGGGUGAUAGAAAAAUUUAAUAAACUUUUUUUAAAAAUUUUACAUUAAUAUAUGAAAUUUUGAUCCAUAAUUUAUGAUUAAAAGAUUAAAUUACCUUAGGGAUAACAGCGUAAUUUUUUUUUUUAGUUCUUAUAAGAAAAAAAGUUUGCGACCUCGAUGUUGGAUUAAG
This 357-nucleotide ribosomal RNA is filed under the name Pieris dulcinea. Its description in RNAcentral is "partial large subunit ribosomal RNA". Lineage: Eukaryota; Metazoa; Arthropoda; Insecta; Lepidoptera; Pieridae. The record is from RNAcentral.